GUGUGGCUCAGUUGGUAGAGUGCUUGCCUAACAUGCAUGAAGUCCUGGGUUUGAUUCCCAGCAC
This 64-nucleotide transfer RNA is filed under the name Rattus norvegicus (Norway rat). It matches the Rfam family "tRNA", at positions 5 to 66 of the family's 71-position model. Rfam says of the family: Transfer RNA (tRNA) molecules are approximately 80 nucleotides in length. Their secondary structure includes four short double-helical elements and three loops (D, anti-codon, and T loops). Further hydrogen bonds mediate the characteristic L-shaped molecular structure. tRNAs have two regions of fundamental functional importance: the anti-codon, which is responsible for specific mRNA codon recognition, and the 3' end, to which the tRNAs corresponding amino acid is attached (by aminoacyl-tRNA synthetases). tRNAs cope with the degeneracy of the genetic code in two manners: having more than one tRNA (with a specific anti-codon) for a particular amino acid; and 'wobble' base-pairing, i.e. permitting non-standard base-pairing at the 3rd anti-codon position. The record is from Rfam by way of RNAcentral. Lineage: Eukaryota; Metazoa; Chordata; Mammalia; Rodentia; Muridae.